Molecule: ribosomal RNA, 329 nt
Filed under: uncultured Amoebophrya
Lineage: Eukaryota; Dinophyceae; Syndiniales
Description: partial Bacterial large subunit ribosomal RNA
Rfam family: Bacterial large subunit ribosomal RNA
Source: RNAcentral
AAUGGAGACGAAGUCUUUUCUGUGAAGCCGGCGUGUGAGCGAUCCGGUGGAGAGAUCACUAGUGAGAAUGAUGACAUGAGUAGCGACAAACAGGGUGAGAGACCCUGUCGCCGAAAGUCCAAGGGUUCCUGCUUAAAGCUAAUCUGAGCAGGGUAAGCCGACCCCUAAGGCGAGGCCGAAAGGCGUAGUCGAUGGGAACCAGGUUAAUAUUCCUGGGCCAGUUAGAAGUGACGGAUCUCGAAGGUAGUUCAUCCUUAUUGGAUUGAAUGGGCUGCUAAGAGGUUCCUGGAAAUAGCUCUAACAUAAGAUCGUACCCUAAACCGACACAG